AAUCUCAGCAGUGGACAAAGAGACACCUUGUUGGUGGUGUUGUUCUUAUAUCCACCAGGGCAGAGCAGACAGCAGUCCUUCAUUUGUCCUGGCUUAACGGCUGACUUGGUGGCCAAAGCUGUUUCAUGCCCAGGGCACAUAA
This is a non-coding RNA of Mesocricetus auratus (golden hamster), 142 nucleotides long. The record is from Rfam. NCBI's taxonomy places the organism in Eukaryota, Metazoa, Chordata, Mammalia, Rodentia, Cricetidae.